RNAcentral lists this long non-coding RNA (602 nucleotides) under Gossypium barbadense (sea-island cotton). RNAcentral describes it as "long non-coding RNA (GBAR_LNC007804)". The record is from RNAcentral. Lineage: Eukaryota; Viridiplantae; Streptophyta; Magnoliopsida; Malvales; Malvaceae.
CAUUUUAACCUAAACCCUAAACCCAGUAUUAACCUAAGCCCAAACUAACCCCAAACAGCCCAAACAAAAAACAAAUCAAAAAAAAAACCCUAUCCCCCUAGCUCGUUGGCGCCGCAACCACCCCUUGACCGUUUGCCAUGGCCACCUGCUCCACCUGCUCCACCGCCCAUGCCCAUCCCCUGCAAGCAGUAACAAGAAAAGAAAGUAAUAGUAGUGUAAAUGGCUAUAUAAGCCAAAAUCAAAGGGGUUUUUUUUUUUCUUUCUUUCGGCUAGAUCUAUUUGGCCAUUUCUUUAUCAAUGCAAAAAUAGUUUUUGACACACAUACAAGUAGUGAUCAAAAGAAAAUAAAAAAAAACACCAGAAUAACAUCAAAUCGGGUAGCCAAAACGCUAGAGUUACAACAAAAACUUAAGGUGAUUUUAAAUUUAUUUUCGUUUUGUUUAUUUUCUCACACAUACAUAUAUAAAAAAAACACAUAAAAAUAAAUAAAAAAUAAAAAAGGGGUACCUUUUCGAUUGUCCGCGGUGGCCGGCGACAGCGUCCGACAUGGCGGCAAUCGGCUGGUUCCUCGCCGGAUCCUUGACUGGCAGAGAGAAAAGGAG